GAGGGUGCAUACAAAAAUUAUUAUUUAUUUCAUGAUUCACGGACUAAAGUCGAAGGCCAUCGAAGUUUCAUUCUAUACUUUAUUUCAAUCCUGGUUGGCUUUAAUUUCUGAAGUGCAAUUCGAUGUUGGUCUUUGAGCACGAUGAUCAUCUGGUUCUGCGAGCGUGAUCUAGGUCAGUCUGUGGCAGUGGAGCGAGCACGCCUGCCUGCCUCGCUCCAUCUCUCUCACCUCGGUUUGUCGGUUUGCCAAAAUAUCACAAAAUCUUCCGCUUGACAAAAGACAAAACAAGACUUUGUGUCUUUUUCUAAAAUUGGCAUCGCUUUAAGAAUAAUUUGCCACCUCAAUAAAAUUAAAUUUUUGACAUAAA
This is a long non-coding RNA of Neocloeon triangulifer, 367 nucleotides long. RefSeq lists it as uncharacterized. Lineage: Eukaryota; Metazoa; Arthropoda; Insecta; Ephemeroptera; Baetidae. The record is from RefSeq and is a predicted model, not a curated record. The transcript has 2 exons.